Cercocebus atys (sooty mangabey) is the source of this 5838-nucleotide long non-coding RNA. RefSeq lists it as uncharacterized. The record is from RefSeq and is a predicted model, not a curated record. Lineage: Eukaryota; Metazoa; Chordata; Mammalia; Primates; Cercopithecidae. The transcript is spliced from 4 exons.
ACAGCCAGCCACCCAGGAAGGAAGCAUUUUGUUCCUUUUAGACAGAGGGUCUGGCCAGCCAUAUGGCCACGUUGUUGAAAGGCUCUGUGAACAGAAAUUGUAGGAAAUUGCAAAGCAACCUCUGAUAAUGAACAUCUUGCCAGGAAAAUGUAUCUGAUCUCUGAGGAAAGGUGUUGGAAGAGAUAGGAGACGGCAGGAGGAUUGUCUCAAACACAAGUCUGAGUUCUUUUGACAACAAUGUCUCCCUGUUUCUGAAAUAUAGAGAAUUCUGCUCAAGAAGUGAGGAAGUUUUGGAGACAUAAUCAGAAAGAGAGAAAUGCAGACAAAGAAGUUGUUGAAACUAGCUCACUUCUCUUCAUGCUAUUUUCAGAAUUUUUCUUUACAUCUUGCACUAAAAACAACCCUGCGCAAAAGACAAACCUUUUCCAGAUGUUUUGGUGAAUUCACUUUUAUUCUCCAUGGGCAAUAAUAACCAGUUUUUGUUUAAGGCCUUAUGAUUUAAAAAGCAUGCACUUUUAAUAUUUACAAUAAUAACAUUUUUAAUGUUUACAAGAAUCCCUUAAAAUUGCUGUUAUUUUUAUUUACUAUUAUCAUACUGACUUUUUCAAAUAAGACAAUUGAAAUUCAGUCUCUUUUUAAUCAUCCAAGUAAUAAGCAGUGGAAGAGGCACUUUAAAAUACAAAUUAUUAAACUCUGAAUUCUCUGCCUUUCUUCCUCCUUUUGCAUGACAAUAGGGUAAAAUGAGACUAGCAUGUUUUAAUAAAUAAAUUUUUAUUUGCUUUUUUGAGUAAGAGCUUGGAGAAAUCUAAUAUGUCAUUUUGUGUACUCUUAAAAAUCCUUUGCUUGAAGAAUCUAAUGACUUUUACGUCUAUGGAUUUAUAUAUUAUUUGCACCAUUUUGAAAUAUUUAGGAAAGGAGAGAAUAUAAUUAUUUGCCAUGAAAAUAAACUAACAGUAUCAGGACAGGAGUCGAUGCCAACCAAAGCAUCCUAUUGCCCCAUACGCUGUUGCUGGCAUUGAUGAAAUUUGAGGAUUGGAAGAAGCGGAAUCAGCCAGCCUCAUGUAGAUUUCAACUGGAAUCUGGGCUGUUCCUCCAGGGUGCACCAGGAGCCUUCCUCCUCCCCUCACUUUCUUCCAUUCCCCACUCAGCAGUUUCAGAGGUUGACAAGAAUUCAGCUCAGUCAGGCAAAUGUUGGUUUAUAACACGAACACUGACCAUUUCUAUCUUACAAUGAGAGAGGGGAAGCAAAGAGAGAUUGCGAGACAUCUACAGUAAAUCAAAAGAGGAUGUCGGGAUCUUUCCAUGAUGCCAAGUGCUUGCUACUGAUGGGUUUUUCUCCUGAAGUAACUUUUAGCUACAUUUACAGAUUUUCAGAGGAAAGAACCCCUGUAGCCAUGUUUUCCCCCAAAGAUCAGGCUCCCUUUCCACCUCAGAAUGGCUUCUCACAAAUACAGUAGUUUUUCAACAACAGAUGGGUCUAAGUUGAAAGAGACCUUGUCAUUGAUCCAGUGGCAUGAGGACUUCUUCAAAUGUACAUGUGGAUCUGAUGGUCACGGAGGGACCACACGACAUUGAUGCAGUUCCUCUUAAAGGGCCAGCUCUUCAUCAGCCCUGAUGUUCAGGCACCCAUGUUUAAGAUGCAGCCCUCCAGCAAGACCAGCAUGAGUGCCACAGAGCUUUGUGGAGACUCGCCAACAUAAUAGGCCAGUAUUUGGGAGAGGGUAGCAAUUAUGUGAUUUCAAUUUCAUACCAUCUGUCCCCAGAUUUCCUUCACUACCAGGCUGGCCACUGGCUUUGGAGGACAGUCAAAAUCCAGGGCUCUGGAAUACUCUUUAUGGAGUUCAAAGGAGCAGGCGUCCCUGUGAACUCCAACGCUGGUUGUUGCCAUGGGGAAGUGUACCGAGAUUGUUGGCUUCCAGCAAGAUAUGUACUUGAAAGUCCUAAUGAAAGCAUGUUAAGCCCUCGGAAGCUGGCUAUGUGUCUGAGAGCCUGGCCAAGAGAUGUCAGAUCGCUCCACGGGCAAGAGAGAACAUAAGCAACUGAGAAAAAGGGAGGAAGAGACAUGCUGACGUUCUUCUCAACAGGAACAUUCUUUCUUCUUGGGAGUCCAUCAGCCUCAUCAUUUAUUAUCAGACUGUAACCACCCUUCAUCCUCUUUCUCCAACAGGAUCUCAUCAUUCCAAUAAGAACCUAAAUCAUAAAGUAAAAACAAGAAAAAUACGACUUUUUGUUUUUGGCUAGAAGGCAAUCUGAUUGAUACAGUAAAGGUCUGGAAGCCCUAAAAUGUUGGGUCAAUUCCUAACUCCGACACAAAGAAGCUAAACAACUUGCAAGAUAAUACGUAAAAAAAUCAACCACAAUGUUUCUAUCUGCAAAACAGAGUAGGGGUGCCACUGGGAAGCAUUUUAAAAACCUUGUGUUCCUCAUGCUAAUUAUUCACCAGUUGGCGUUCCAGGUCAUGCCUCUUGACAUCAGUAGCUUGAUUGCCAAUGGGAUGAUGAUACUGGUUUCACUUUUAAAUAUGGGUUUCAAAAGUAUCAGUUUUCACUGUCGUCAGAGAAACAGAAUAUUGGAUGUGGGAAAAAAGCCUCAGGCAGAAAUCUAGAUGUCAGUCUCCCUCAUUUCACAAUGAGGAAGCUGAGGCCCAGAGUGGUGAGUGACCUGCCCAAGGCCACAGUCAGAGUUAGAGCUGUGCCAGGCCCAGGACACAGGGCUUUCCUUUUGAUCAACAUCACAUUUCCUAAACCAGCUUGCUUCUUAUAUGCCUGCUUUCCAUGAUGAUUUCUGGGGAAAGGAUUUCUCAUUACAUGGAUUUUUCAUGGCUCUAGAUGGGUGAUUUGGGGCAACGUAGAAGGGCGCCUUUUGAUCUAGCUGCUUCCGCAUCAAGUACAACACUCCUUCCUCGAUGGAAGAAUGGUCGGCCUCUCCUAUCAGUCGCUGAAGUCUUAGAAGACAUGAAAAUAAACAAAACCUGACAACUCUGUUCCCUGUGUUAUGACCUGUUCACCUCCCCUGCCACUUCCAACUUGACUUCUCCCUGAGUAGCCCCCACGUUAUUUAAGUCAGCAGGGCUUUCAGAAGUCAGGCAGUGCUGAGGCUGCCAGAAGGAAUACUUGCGUGGCAGGCGCAUGUGGGUCUGAGCUCUUUAGACUCUGGGUCAUGACUGGCAUAGAAGGGGUUCCUGCUGCUCUUCAAAUCGCUUUUGGUCCUGAAACUUCCUUCCAAUGGUUCCCUCCCUUAUGUUUAACCACUUCAUGCUCUGGAAUCACCAAAGGUCUCACUCUGACAAAUAAUAUUUUUUGAAGCACUCAGGAGUCUACUUUAUUCUGGAAUGUUCCAAUAGGCAGCUUUAACAAAAAUAUGGGUAACUUCUUGAAAAAAGAGUAACCUCAACUUAAAGUUGACUGCAAAUGACGAUAGCAAUCUGACCUUUGAUUCAUUAAAAAAUACCCAUAUGUUCACAGAAGGUUGUUUCAUAACAGCUGCAAAGUGGAAGUGACCCAAAUGAAUGUCUAUCGGUGGAUGCCUGGGUGAGCAAAAUAUGGUAUAUCUACACAAUGGAAUAUUACUUGCAAUGAAAAAAAGUAUUGCUACAUGAUACGUGAACACAUCUCAAAGUUAUGCAAAGUGAAAAAGAUCAGAUCACAUAUUGUAUGAUUCCAUGUAUAUAAAAUGUCCAGAAAAAGCAAAUCUAUAAGAGACAGAAAAAUUAGUGACUGCCAUGGGCCAGAGGUGGGAAGAGGGAGUGACUGCAAAUGGGCACGAGGUUUAUUUCGGGGGUGAUGGAAUUGCUCUAAAAUUAGAUUGCAGUGAUGGUUGCACAGCUCCGAGUAUUUAUGAAAAAAAUCAUGGAGUUUUGACUUCAAAAAAGUGAGUUUUAUGGUAUGUAAAUAGUACCUCCAUAAAGCUGUGCAAAUGAAUAACCAUGCAGCAGAUGCGCCAGCUCUAGCAGGAAGGAGAUCUUUGGAGUAGAGGGAUGUCUGCUGUGGUUGGGCCAACAGACGAACUCAGCCAUACAGUUUCCCUCACCCUGACUGCUCCUCAUGAAGGGCGACCUUCAAGUCCAGGCAGAAGCCCUUGACAUGAUGCAACGAUUUAUUAAAUAGACAGGCUGCCCUUACGAGGUGAAGCCUGACAAAGCCUCAGUUCAGGGACAUCUGCAUUCAGAGUGAAAAACCGAUGGCAGCCACAAUGAUUUAGAUCUGCAAUUAAGACAUUUAAAGUGUUUAGGGCUGACAAGGAGUUAAAGUAAAUGUUGAUUCAGUUAUGAAGUCUUCAAAGAUUUAGGCUUGCAAAAGGGCCUUGCACAACUGUAGGAUUUUAUUUAUUUAUGCAUUGUUAUUGACUUUAAAAUAUUCUUUUUUCUCCCCCCACAGAACUUUUCCAACCAACAGUGGGCCCUUAGCAGGGGAGACUGGAAACAGAUCCUUUAUGCACUGAAAGAAGAAAGUAGAACCAUUUCUGGGUCCCAGAUGUGGGAAGAGCUCCUGUUGCUGUGGAUUCUGACUUCUGGGUCUUGGAGCAGGAGGUGGCCAGCAAGCUAAGCUGUCCUGAGGGUGUGCCAGGCCAGGGGCUGAAGACAACGUUGGAGCAUCCACAGACUGGUUUGUCUCAAGAAGCAUGUUACUAAAUAUGAAAUGGCAAAAUCUGCAAGUGAGUUUACUUUUCCCCCAUAGAUUAGAAUGGAUUCAAUAUUAUCUCUUUAUUAGAUUCACUUUUAAUCACUUGCAUAGCAAGUAAGACAGAAGGGUGGUUUGAAAGUCAAUCAUGUGAGAAUUCCAGAUAAAUUGACUUUGCUCACAACAAUCUAUUAUUCAUGUGACUAUCAACUGUCAUGUGUGCUGGGACAAAAAAGAAGAUUAAGGUUCACUGGUCUCAGACAGUUCCAGGAGAGGAAACCCAGGAUUGAACUUUUUCAGCCUUCUUUGGUAAAACAUGCUGCUCUGUGGGUGUGUCAAAGCUUUUUUCAGUUUCCUAAACUCCUGUAUUCAAGAAGAGAAGCUAUUUUCUCUUCUUUAUCAUCCUUCCUUGACAAAGCAAAACGUAUUUUCAUUGUCUGCUCUGUAUCAUCCAGGCUUGGUUCCUGUCCUCAAAGAGCUUAUAGUUCAAACAAAGGAGAGGGAGCAUUUUACAAGGGAAUUAAAGAUGAAAGACUCUGAAAGCCAGUUUAAAAAGUCGAGAGGGAGGGGUCUGGGAGAAGCUGAGCAGGGAUGAAAGGGUACAAAACAUUAUAGAAGGAGAACAGGGGAACACCUUGACUACUGGGUAGAAAUACCAAUCAGUGUGUAGAAACCAUCACAGUGGUAACACGGAUCAGUAGGUGGAAACCAAUGACAGCAGGUGUGUGAGGCAUGGAACACUUGGCUUAUUGUAAAGUUUUCAAAAUAUGUGGUCCUUUCUAUCCACCAGGGGAUGGGAGUUGUCUUUGUAUAUCAACCACAGAAGGGCUGUUUCGGUUCAUCAUUCUGUGGUCUACCUGGGUAGACCUGAUGCAGCCGUGUUUCCGGGGAAAGGAAGAACAGCUUUUGUUUUGUGAUAUUUAAUGGUAGAUGUUGUGCCAUGGAAUGAUGCAGAUUUCGUUCAGAUAUUCUUGGAUCUUGGCCUCAGGACUCACUCAUUCUUCCUUAUAUGAGCAUUGGUAGUUAUAGGUUUUACCCUUCCUUUAAUUUUAAGUCCUUUGAAGGCAAAAACUGUAUCCAAUUUGUCACUGUCUCCCAACAGUACUUAACAGUGUCUGAUGCAUCAUAGGGAGUUUAUAAACGUUUGGAUGAAUAAAGGGAAAACAAAAACAACAAAAAUAACCUUUAUUUUGCUUUAAUAAAAAUAUUUUAACUAGUU